GAUGAAGAACGUAGCGAAAUGCGAUAAGUAAUGUGAAUUGCAGAAUUCAGUGAAUCAUCGAAUCUUUGAACGCACAUUGCGCCCGCCAGUAUUCUGGCGGGCAUGCCUGUUCGAGCGUCAUUACAACCCUCAGGCCCCCGGGCCUGGCGUUGGGGAUCGGCGGAGCCCCCCGUGGGCACACGCCGUCCCCCAAAUGCAGUGGCGGUCCCGCCGCAGCUUCCAUCGCGUAGUAGCUAACACCUCGCGACUGGAGAGCGGCGCGGCCACGCCGUAAAACACCCAACUCUUCUGAAGUUGACCUCGAAUCAGGUAGGAAUACCCGCUGAACUUAAGCAUCUCAAUAAGCGGAGGA
RNAcentral lists this unclassified non-coding RNA (352 nucleotides) under soil metagenome. RNAcentral describes it as "partial contains 5.8S ribosomal RNA, internal transcribed spacer 2, and large subunit ribosomal RNA". The stretch from base 1 to 120 matches the Rfam family "5.8S ribosomal RNA", at positions 35 to 154 of the family's 154-position model. The record is from RNAcentral.